Molecule: long non-coding RNA, 378 nt
Organism: Zingiber officinale
Lineage: Eukaryota; Viridiplantae; Streptophyta; Magnoliopsida; Zingiberales; Zingiberaceae
Exons: 2
Source: RefSeq, a predicted model, not a curated record
GGCGGCACAACUACAGCUAGGGCGAGGGCUCCGACAGAGGAACGAGGAAAGGAAGGCAAGUACUCUGCAAUAUGAUGGUAUGAGAUCCGCAAGGUAGAGGAUAGGAGCUUGGAAGAGUUGAUAUGCUCACCGAUUAUGUUCAGCAGGUGAGGAUGACUUCCAGGAUAUGCCAGAAGGCCCACGGACGAAGUAGACGAGGAGGCGGGAUGGACGCAUGGUACUGUCCGUUGUCCGGGAGGGCAGUGCAUACUGGAUCUACCAAGAGAGAUUUUCGUUUCUUAGUCACUCGGGUGGGGAAUGUUGAGGAGUUAUUGUUCUUAUCGAUAAACAUUUGUUGAUACAAUCUUGUCUAUUGGUUAUGAUAGUUCCUUUAUGGUU